CAGCGGCGCAGCUCCGUUCUCCACGCGUCUCGCGUCCCCGCGUCCGGACAGGGCGCGCAGCCCCGCCGCCGGGAUGCGGCCGCCUGCCCGCCGCGGCCGCCGUCUGGCGCUCCCGGCACUGCUCUCGCUGCUCACCUGCUCCCUGGCUUUUGCUUUGGUUUCUAAAGAUGUGAAGAAGGAGGUCAAACAGUCUAAGAAUUUGGAGAAAAGUGGUAUAUCAGAGAAAAAUGACGUAGAUUUAAAAGGAAUUGCAUUUGUCAUCCAGAGUCAAAGUAAUUCUUUUCAUGCAAAGAAAGCAGAACAGUUAAAACAAAGCAUCUUAAAGCAAGCUGCAGAUCUUACCCAGGAAGUCCCCAGAGUCCUCCUCCUUCACCAGCUGGCUCAGCAGGAAGGCGCAUGGACCAUACUUCCAUUGUUACCGCACUUUUCUGUAACAUAUAGCAGAAAUUCAUCAUGGAUUUUCUUCUGUGAAGAAGAGACAAGAAUACAAAUUCCACAACUCUUACAAGCACUCAGAAGAUAUGACCCAUCAAAGGAAUGGUUUUUAGGAAAAGCGUUACAUGACGAAGAAUCUACAAUCAUUCACCAUUACGCCUUUUCCGAAAAUCCUACAGUUUUUAAAUACCCAGACUUCGCUGCUGGCUGGGCCCUUAGUAUCCCACUGGUAAACAAGCUUACCAAGAGAUUGAAGAGCGAGUCCCUGAAAUCCGACUUUACAAUAGAUUUAAAAUAUGAGAUCGCUCUCUACAUCUGGGACCGAGGUGAUGGACCACCCCUCACUCCUGUGCCUGAGUUUUGUACAGACGGGGUGGACUCUUCCUGUGCCACCACAUUUCAUUCUUUUCUACCACUUUGCGGAAAUCCAGUGAAGAAGAAGGAUAUUUUUGUUGCAGUAAAGACAUGCAAGAAAUUUCAUGGUGACAGAAUCCGCAUCGUAAAGCAGACUUGGGCGGGGCAGGCAGGUCACAUCGAAUACUACAGCGAUUACGCAGACAGUUCUGUUCCGACGGUGGAUCUGGGAAUUCCUAAUACAGAGAGAGGUCAUUGUGGAAAGACAUUUGCCAUUUUGGAAAGAUUUUUGAACCACAGCUAUGACAGAAUAGCAUGGUUAGUCAUUGUGGAUGAUGACACAUUAAUAAGCCAUCUGCUUUCAUUUAUCUCGGCGAAAUACUGAGGAGCAGAAUGGUUGGGACAUAUAACAGGUGUGUUAACUUUUUAAGAAACUUGCGUCAGUGGUAGUUUCUGAGGUGGCUGACUUUCACUGUUCUUAGAAUAUACACAUUGGUGUGUUUGGGGGGAAGGGGCAUAAUACAGAUACGUAUGUGUGUGUGUGUAUAUAUAUAUAGAGAGAGAGAGAGAGAGAGUGAGAAUGAUAAAGCACUAAAAUGUAUUAAUGCAAUUUUGAUUGCACUUGAACAUUUCCAUACUGUUUCUGUUCAUUUCUGUGCCUCAGGUUGCCUGAAAUGGUAACAGAUUGUUCAGUGAAGUUCUUUUCCUGGUUCGGUGGCCAGUUCCCUUGGAUUGAACUGGAGAUCUGCCUGCUUUGGCCACAUUUCCAGUUUUUACCAAAUAUGAAUGAAGUGUGUAAUCGUUGUCAGGCUCAGCUUAUGCCUCUUCAGCUUUAAUAUGAUCUUGCAAAUACGGAAACGGUUAAUGUUACCAGGAAAAGAAACCCAGAUGAGAUGUUAAAUCCUAGUUAUUUUAACCUCAGAAAUUGAGGGUUUAUGGUUUAAUUGAUAAUUUUACAAUAUGCAGGAAGGAGGGAAAUACUUCUCAUUUCUUCACGCAUUUGCUAGAAGGGGCUUUGAGGUUUUCAGGGAGCUUCUUACCAAGCAAAGGCUGCGAUUUCCUUAGAGAUCUUUGUCUCUCCGUGACCGAAUGGUGAUUUACUAGGUGUCCACACCCUUCCCUGCUUUCCCCUGCAGAGGUAUUUAUUAGAUGACUUCCUGAAUACUGAUUCCAAACUAGGAGCCUAGAAUGUUUAACUUCUGUGUCAAAAAUAGGGUAGUUUUCAAACACUUUCUGGCCGAUUAGAAACUGUCACCAUUAUCAGAGCCCUUGACCUUUAGGGCUCUGAUAUAAACCUGAUCAGUCAACUUGGAGACUCUGAGCACCGCACUUGUAAGAGAUUUUUUUUCAUACAUCAAAUUUGUUUUCUUCUCUUUCAGCGUCAGCUUUAUUAGCUGGGUGUAAGAUGCAUAAGCACAGAUGGAAAAGACGGCCCUUCCUGUACAUCUCAAAGACAGGAAAAAUGAGACUCCAGAGCAGCAGUGUUCUAGAUGUUAAUGUUGCUCUUGAGAAAAGAAUUCACGAUUAGUAAUUGAGAGAAAUGCUUGAUACAUCGAGCUCUUAGAGAUGCACGAUGCUCAUGAGUCACAGGCUUGAGAAACACUGAAAUUUCCUUCAUGCAUAAAAAAUAUUUCAUCCAAGGUCGGCCAUGGAAGAACUUUUUUCAAGGCACGCUGAUUAAUAACAUGAGGGAAGCUAGGAUUUGGUGUGUAUGACCUGAGAAGCUCUAAAUUAGAAGAAACAGUAGAAGGACUUUACAGGGCAUUUGGAAGUGACAGAAGUUCUUAAAACAUGGGAAAACUAGCCUUUCUUAACAUCAACCUUUGUCUCCACUUAAAAUAUUUAUAGAUUUUAUUUUCCUAUGAAAUCUUUUUUUCUCAUCCUUGCAGCAGCCAUAGUUGCUGGCAUUCUUCUGAGCAGCUCAUGGAUAUUCUCAAGGCCCUUUGCAAGACACGACAAAGAAGCAUAGGGGCCAGAGCAUCUCCAGGCUCCAGCACCUACUGAGCUGUUACGAUGCCAGUGAACCCGUGUUUCUGGGAGAG
This is an RNA transcript of Lagenorhynchus albirostris (white-beaked dolphin), 2831 nucleotides long. It is a transcript of the gene named beta 3-glucosyltransferase, with no coding region annotated. Lineage: Eukaryota; Metazoa; Chordata; Mammalia; Artiodactyla; Delphinidae. The transcript is spliced from 14 exons. The record is from RefSeq and is a predicted model, not a curated record.